This 467-nucleotide ribosomal RNA is filed under the name Escherichia coli. Its description in RNAcentral is "bacterial SSU rRNA". It matches the Rfam family "Bacterial small subunit ribosomal RNA", at positions 338 to 796 of the family's 1533-position model. The record is from RNAcentral. Lineage: Bacteria; Pseudomonadati; Pseudomonadota; Gammaproteobacteria; Enterobacterales; Enterobacteriaceae.
CCUACGGGUGGCAGCAGUGGGGAAUAUUGCGCAAUGGACGAAAGUCUGACGCAGCGACGCCGCGUGAGGGAUGAAGGUUUUCGGAUCGUAAACCUCUGUCAGGAGGGAAGAAAGCGCAUGGCGCCAAUCAGCCAUGCGUUGACGGUACCUCCAAAGGAAGCGCCGGCUAACUCCGUGCCAGCAGCCGCGGUAAUACGGAGGGCGCGAGCGUUAAUCGGAAUUACUGGGCGUAAAGCGCGCGUAGGCUGUUGUGUAAGUUGGGGGUGAAAUCCCACGGCUCAACCGUGGAACAGCCCUUGAUACUGCGCGACUUGAAUCCGGGAGAGGGUGGCGGAAUUCCAGGUGUAGGAGUGAAAUCCGUAGAUAUCUGGAGGAACAUCAGUGGCGAAGGCGGCCACCUGGACCGGUAUUGACGCUGAGGCGCGAAAGCGUGGGGAGCAAACAGGAUUAGAUACCCUUGUAGGUCC